RNAcentral lists this unclassified non-coding RNA (412 nucleotides) under Brevibacterium linens. Lineage: Bacteria; Bacillati; Actinomycetota; Actinomycetes; Micrococcales; Brevibacteriaceae. The record is from RNAcentral.
CAACGUGUCACCCGUACGUGGUGCCGGUUGGGAGCUCAAGGGUGGAACAUCAUUAUUUUCGCUCAACCCGCACAGCGUCGUUAAGGUUCAUGCCUUGUCGACGGUGUGAUGAUGGUGGGCUAGAACGAACACGUUAUUGGGUCCUGGAAUCACAAACCAACCAGCAAUGGUUGGGUGUGGUUUCAACCAACAGGACCAACCCGUCCAGACCAGCAGCCUUCGGUUGUGUGGGUGUGGGUGGUGUUUGGUGGUGGUUUGAGAAUCGUAUAGUGGACGCGAGCAUCAACAACACAGGCAUUGUCUGUGUUGUUAUGUAAUGUGAUUUUUCUUGUGAAAUCUUAGUGUGAAAUUUUCGCAUACACAUUUUGCAACCAGAUUUUUUUGGGUGUGAUGAGUGUGUAAGAGCGCAUUG